This 540-nucleotide ribosomal RNA is filed under the name uncultured bacterium. RNAcentral's name for it is "bacterial SSU rRNA". It matches the Rfam family "Bacterial small subunit ribosomal RNA", at positions 777 to 1307 of the family's 1533-position model. The record is from RNAcentral.
AAUAGAUACCCCGGUAGUCCACGCCGUAAACGGUGGGCACUAGGUGUGGGCAACAUUCCACGUUGUCCGUGCCGCAGCUAACGCAUUAAGUGCCCCGCCUGGGGAGUACGGCCGCAAGGCUAAAACUCAAAGGAAUUGACGGGGGCCCGCACAAGCGGCGGAGCAUGUGGCUUAAUUCGACGCAACGCGAAGAACCUUACCAAGGCUUGACAUACACCGGAAACGGCCAGAGAUGGUCGCCCCCUUGUGGUCGGUGUACAGGUGGUGCAUGGCUGUCGUCAGCUCGUGUCGUGAAAUGUUGGGUUAAGUCCCGCAACGAGCGCAACCCUUAUCCUGUGUUGCCAGCGGAUCCCUUCGGGGGUGCCGGGGACUCACGGGAGACUGCCGGGGUCAACUCGGAGGAAGGUGGGGACGACGUCAAGUCAUCAUGCCCCUUAUGUCUUGGGCUGCACACGUGCUACAAUGGCCGGUACAAUGAGCUGCGAUACCGCGAGGUGGAGCGAAUCUCAAAAAGCCGGUCUCAGUUCGGAUUGGGGUCUG